AAGCCAGUCGAAGAUACCAGCUGGCUGCAACUGUUUAUUAAAAACACAGCACUGUGCAAACACGAAAGUGGACGUAUACGGUGUGACGCCUGCCCGGUGCUGGAAGGUUAAUUGAUGGGGUUAGCGUAAGCGAAGCUCCUGAUCGAAGCCCCAGUAAACGGCGGCCGUAACUAUAACGGUCCUAAGGUAGCGAAAUUCCUUGUCGGGUAAGUUCCGACCUGCACGAAUGGCGUAAUGAUGGCCAGGCUGUCUCCACCCGAGACUCAGUGAAAUUGAACUCGCUGUGAAGAUGCAGUGUACCCGCGGCAAGACGGAAAGACCCCGUGAACCUUUACUAUAGCUUGACACUGAACAUUGAGCCUUGAUGUGUAGGAUAGGUGGGAGGCUUUGAAGUGUGGACGCCAGUCUGCAUGGAGCCAACCUUGAAAUACCACCCUUUAACGUUUGAUGUUCUAACCUAGGCCCAUAAACUGGGUCGGGGACCGUGUCUGGUGGGUAGUUUGACUGGGGCGGUCUCCUCCUAAAGAGUAACGGAGGAGCACGAAGGUUGGCUAAGCAUGGUCGGACAUCAUGCGGUUAGUGCAAAGGCAUAAGCCAGCUUGACUGCGAGAGUGACGGCUCGAGCAGGUACGAAAGUAGGUCUUAGUGAUCCGGUGGUUCUGAAUGGAAGGGCCAUCGCUCAACGGAUAAAAGGUACUCCGGGGAUAACAGGCUGAUACCGCCCAAGAGUUCAUAUCGACGGCGGUGUUUGGCACCUCGAUGUCGGCUCAUCACAUCCUGGGGCUGAAGUAGGUCCCAAGGGUAUGGCUGUUCGCCAUUUAAAGUGGUACGCGAGCUGGGUUUAGAACGUCGUGAGACAGUUCGGUCCCUAUCUGCCGUGGGCGUUGGAAGAUUGAGAGGGGUUGCUCCUAGUACGAGAGGACCGGAGUGAACGCACCACUGGUGUUCGGGUUGUCAUGCCAAUGGCAUUGCCCGGUAGCUAAGUGCGGAAGAGAUAACCGCUGAAAGCAUCUAAGCGGGAAACUUGCCUCGAGAUGAGUCUUCCCUGUCGCUUUAAGCGACCUAAAGGAACGUUUAAGACUAAGACGUUGAUAGGCUGGGUGUGUAAGCGUAGCGAUACGUUGAGCUAACCAGUACUAAUGAACCGUGAGGCUUAACCUG
This 1161-nucleotide ribosomal RNA is filed under the name Proteus mirabilis. Its description in RNAcentral is "bacterial LSU rRNA". It matches the Rfam family "Bacterial large subunit ribosomal RNA", at positions 1770 to 2925 of the family's 2925-position model. Lineage: Bacteria; Pseudomonadati; Pseudomonadota; Gammaproteobacteria; Enterobacterales; Morganellaceae. The record is from RNAcentral.